Molecule: long non-coding RNA, 1071 nt
Filed under: Piliocolobus tephrosceles (Ugandan red Colobus)
Lineage: Eukaryota; Metazoa; Chordata; Mammalia; Primates; Cercopithecidae
Description: lncRNA (ENSPTEG00000032456.1)
Source: RNAcentral
AUGGGGACUCGACUCACCAUUGCCAGCCACAGGAGGACCUCCAGACAAGGACAGGACUCCCGUCAGAAAGGGAUCCCUUGGGGCAGGACUGAAGUGAGUAGCUGGUUUCCCCUACAUGUCCUUCCGGGCCUGGGUGUCUCAAGAGCUCAGGCUGACCGAAGACCUAAUUACCAGCAAGUUGGACCAGCAGGAGCCUGGGUGGAAGUUUGGCGCCAGGAGUCCAGAACAGCAGUCAAAUCCUCUUCUUACCUGUGCACUGUGCACCUGCUUCCCCGGGAUGCGGAAGGAAGUGGUCCCUAAGAUUUCUCUGCAGGCCCAACCUAAACAGGCCUGAAGCCCCAGGAGGGGCCAGAGGAUCCUCUUUGAGUGAAACCACCCUUCUGCCUGGCUGGCCCUGGUCAACACACUCAGAAGAGGCCGAAUUGGCAGACAGAACGGAAGAAAAGACCUAAAGGUAGAAUCUCAUGAUGUUCAGAUGUUAAAACCUUCCAAUUUUAAGGUCCGACUGUGCGGGGGAGUGAGGAGUUCUAGAGCUGGGUGGACCCCUGAGCCUUUAUCUGGAGAGUGUUCUGCACAAGCUCAGAGGGCAGGACUAUGUGUACCAAUGGUUUUCAACAGGCGGCAACUUCACCCUCACAUGCCUCCCCCAUCCUUGCUGGGACACUAGGCCGCCACUAGGGAAACCCCAGAGGGAGAAUGUUAACCCCUGGCAUCUCUCUAGUCAGCAGAGAGGAGGGAUGCUGCUAAACACCUUACAAUCCCCCGGCCCCUCCCCAACCCCGAAGUAGCCAUUCCGGGGAGGUGGAGAAACUCGCCUGUAGAUCAAUGCCUACCCACUUGGCCGAUGGGAAAUCACGAAUUGGCGACCAAUUGGAUCUUGGAUAUGAGGAAAAAACUCCAGCAUCAGAGGAAACUCUCGGAAUUUUGCCCAGAGUAUAAGGAAGGGUAGCAUUGCCUUCGCCUAAGAUGGGAAAAUGGCAGGUGUCACUGAUUGCAGGGGAAGGUCAGAGAUCAGUUGAGGGCCCCGGAGUCUCCCUGGAAAGAGUUUUCCAUGCAGCUCGUCUCGGUUUC